AGCAUUUCCAAAUGGGGUUUUCCACAUCAGGUCUUUAUACAGUAGUAAAAGUCAAGUACCUUGCAUCCAAAGAACUCAAACCACUUUGCAAAUACUAAGUCUCACUGCACUUCUCCCUGGAGUCAUCUCUGAUUUUUUUUCUUUUGAUGAAGAAUCUAAAAGGUGAAUCUAAAAGGUGUCACUCAUUAGUGCUAUUGCUGUGCUGUGAAGUUAGGAACUG
This 220-nucleotide long non-coding RNA is filed under the name Crocodylus porosus (Australian saltwater crocodile). RNAcentral's name for it is "lncRNA (ENSCPRG00005009214.1)". Lineage: Eukaryota; Metazoa; Chordata; Crocodylia; Crocodylidae. The record is from RNAcentral.